RNAcentral lists this ribosomal RNA (431 nucleotides) under uncultured bacterium. RNAcentral describes it as "bacterial SSU rRNA". It matches the Rfam family "Bacterial small subunit ribosomal RNA", at positions 29 to 506 of the family's 1533-position model. The record is from RNAcentral.
ACGAACGCUGGCGGCAUGCCUAACACAUGCAAGUCGAACGAGACCUUCGGGUCUAGUGGCGCACGGGUGCGUAACGCGUGGGAAUCUGCCCCUCGGUUCGGAAUAACAGUUAGAAAUGACUGCUAAUACCGGAUGAUGACGAAAGUCCAAAGAUUUAUCGCCGAGGGAUGAGCCCGCGUAAGAUUAGCUAGUUGGUAGGGUAAAGGCCUACCAAGGCGACGAUCUUUAGCUGGUCUGAGAGGAUGAUCAGCCACACUGGGACUGAGACACGGCGCAGACUCUUACGGGAGGCAGCAGUGGGGAAUAUUGGACAAUGGGCGAAAGCCUGAUCCAGCAAGGCCGCGUGAGUGAUGAAGGCCUUAGGGUUGUAAAGCUCUUUAGCCGAUGAUUAUAAUGACUGUAGUCGGAAAAUAAGCCCCGGCUAACUUCGU